AAUCAACGCUGGCGGCGUGCCUCAGACAUGCAAGUCGAACGAUUAAAGCUCUCUUCGGAGAGUGUAUAGAGUGGCGCACGGGUGAGUAACACGUAAGUAAUCUACCUUUGAGUGGGGAAUAACAAUCGGAAACGAUUGCUAAUACCGCAUAAUGCAGCGGCAUCGCAAGAUGACAGUUGUUAAAGGAGCAAUCCGCUUAAAGAGGAGCUUGCGGCAGAUUAGCUAGUUGGUAAGGUAAUGGCUUACCAAGGCUACGAUCUGUAUCCGGUCUAAGAGGACGGUCGGACACACUGACACUGAAUAACGGGUCAGACUCCUACGGGAGGCAGCAGUCGGG
RNAcentral lists this ribosomal RNA (337 nucleotides) under uncultured bacterium. Its description in RNAcentral is "bacterial SSU rRNA". It matches the Rfam family "Bacterial small subunit ribosomal RNA", at positions 32 to 359 of the family's 1533-position model. The record is from RNAcentral.